AAGCAAAUAGUUAUUUUAAAUUGUAAUAAUAUUUUACAAUAUUACGUUUUUUACUCUAUUUUUGAUCAAAUAAAUGGUGUUUAAGAGAUUUCUUUUAAUCUUACCGACCCCAAACUUUUGAACAGUACUGUAAAUGUCAGCUUGUUUAUUUGUGUGUGCAGAGUUUGGAUGAGAGUAAGCCCCACUGGACCCUGCGUGUAGUGAGUGACCACAGUGAGGCAGGAAGUAUAGAGGUGAAGAAAGACACUGAGAAUCUAGAGGAGAUCAGAGCCAUGAAACUGGCCUGGGAAGCAGCUGAGCCCGGCAGAGCAGCAAAGGCUCAUCAGUCUCGGCUGCACUAUCUCAAAGAGCUGCAAGAACGUGCAGAGAGUAAAGAGCCUGUCACGGCUGAGACAGGUUAAACACAAAGAUACACACAACCAGAUUGUUUAAUACAGGUUUAUAUGGACAUAUUUAUUAUAUGGCCUAAUAUUUUCAUUGUUUGUAUUUUGUAGACAAUCAACCUCAGCCCCAACAGAGUGGAGAGUUCAUACAGAACACUGACAAAAAUGAUAUUGAUUAUACACCAUUUAUCAGGAAGUCUUUGCCGCAGCCUCGUCUAAAGGAUGAAGUGUUGGAGGAGGAGCAGAGGAGGGAACGCUCUGAGAAGUUCCAAAGUUUCCGCCUGAUCUGGGACAAUAUUCUGGAACAGCGUAAACAGGAAAAAAUUGCACGCAAGGAAAUUAUGAAACGACAGCUAGAGACUUACAUUGGCUUUCAGGUUUGUCAUGUGUCGAUAUUAUAAAUGCAGAUUUACACCACACAAAAUCAUUGUUUUUACUGUUGGUAUUUGUACCAUAGCAGAGAAGUCAUUAGAAAAAAAAACAUG
This 868-nucleotide long non-coding RNA is filed under the name Sinocyclocheilus anshuiensis. Its description in RNAcentral is "lncRNA (ENSSANG00000024767.1)". Lineage: Eukaryota; Metazoa; Chordata; Actinopteri; Cypriniformes; Cyprinidae. The record is from RNAcentral.